UACGUAGGGUGCGAGCGUUAAUCGGAAUUACUGGGCGUAAAGCGUGCGUAGGCGGUUCGCUGUGUCCGAUGUGAAAGCCCCGGGCUUAACCUGGGAAUGGCAUUGGAAACUGGCGGGCUUGAGUGCGGCAGAGGGGGGUAGAAUUCCACGUGUAGCAGUGAAAUGCGUAGAGAUGUGGAGGAAUACCGAUGGCGAAGGCAGCCCCCUGGGCCAAUACUGACGCUCAUGCACGAAAGCGUGGGGAGCAAACAGG
Molecule: ribosomal RNA, 253 nt
Filed under: uncultured bacterium
Lineage: Bacteria
Description: partial 16S ribosomal RNA
Rfam family: Bacterial small subunit ribosomal RNA
Source: RNAcentral